This 2900-nucleotide ribosomal RNA is filed under the name Klebsiella pneumoniae. RNAcentral describes it as "bacterial LSU rRNA". It matches the Rfam family "Bacterial large subunit ribosomal RNA". The record is from RNAcentral. Lineage: Bacteria; Pseudomonadati; Pseudomonadota; Gammaproteobacteria; Enterobacterales; Enterobacteriaceae.
UUAAGCGACUAAGCGUACACGGUGGAUGCCCUGGCAGUCAGAGGCGAUGAAGGACGUGCUAAUCUGCGAAAAGCGUCGGUAAGGUGAUAUGAACCGUUAUAACCGGCGAUGUCCGAAUGGGGAAACCCAGUGCAAUUCGUUGCACUAUCGUUAACUGAAUACAUAGGUUAACGAGGCGAACCGGGGGAACUGAAACAUCUAAGUACCCCGAGGAAAAGAAAUCAACCGAGAUUCCCCCAGUAGCGGCGAGCGAACGGGGAGCAGCCCAGAGUCUGAAUCAGCUUGUGUGUUAGUGGAACGGUCUGGAAAGUCCGACGGUACAGGGUGAUAGUCCCGUACACCAAAAUGCACAGGCUGUGAACUCGAAGAGUAGGGCGGGACACGUGGUAUCCUGUCUGAAUAUGGGGGGACCAUCCUCCAAGGCUAAAUACUCCUGACUGACCGAUAGUGAACCAGUACCGUGAGGGAAAGGCGAAAAGAACCCCGGCGAGGGGAGUGAAAAAGAACCUGAAACCGUGUACGUACAAGCAGUGGGAGCACCUUCGGGUGUGACUGCGUACCUUUUGUAUAAUGGGUCAGCGACUUAUAUUCUGUAGCAAGGUUAACCGUAUAGGGGAGCCGCAGGGAAACCGAGUCUUAACUGGGCGUUAAGUUGCAGGGUAUAGACCCGAAACCCGGUGAUCUAGCCAUGGGCAGGUUGAAGGUUGGGUAACACUAACUGGAGGACCGAACCGACUAAUGUUGAAAAAUUAGCGGAUGACUUGUGGCUGGGGGUGAAAGGCCAAUCAAACCGGGAGAUAGCUGGUUCUCCCCGAAAGCUAUUUAGGUAGCGCCUCGUGAACUCAUCUUCGGGGGUAGAGCACUGUUUCGGCUAGGGGGUCAUCCCGACUUACCAACCCGAUGCAAACUACGAAUACCGAAGAAUGUUAUCACGGGAGACACACGGCGGGUGCUAACGUCCGUCGUGAAGAGGGAAACAACCCAGACCGCCAGCUAAGGUCCCAAAGUCAUGGUUAAGUGGGAAACGAUGUGGGAAGGCACAGACAGCCAGGAUGUUGGCUUAGAAGCAGCCAUCAUUUAAAGAAAGCGUAAUAGCUCACUGGUCGAGUCGGCCUGCGCGGAAGAUGUAACGGGGCUAAACCAUGCACCGAAGCUGCGGCAGCGACACUAUGUGUUGUUGGGUAGGGGAGCGUUCUGUAAGCCUGCGAAGGUGACCUGUGAGGGUUGCUGGAGGUAUCAGAAGUGCGAAUGCUGACAUAAGUAACGAUAAAGCGGGUGAAAAGCCCGCUCGCCGGAAGACCAAGGGUUCCUGUCCAACGUUAAUCGGGGCAGGGUGAGUCGACCCCUAAGGCGAGGCCGAAAGGCGUAGUCGAUGGGAAACAGGUUAAUAUUCCUGUACUUGGUGUUACUGCGAAGGGGGGACGGAGAAGGCUAUGUUAGCCGGGCGACGGUUGUCCCGGUUUAAGCAUGUAGGCUGGUUGUCCAGGCAAAUCCGGAUAAUCAAGGCUGAGGUGUGAUGACGAGGUACUACGGUGCUGAAGUAACAAAUGCCCUGCUUCCAGGAAAAGCCUCUAAGCAUCAGGUAACAUCAAAUCGUACCCCAAACCGACACAGGUGGUCAGGUAGAGAAUACCAAGGCGCUUGAGAGAACUCGGGUGAAGGAACUAGGCAAAAUGGUGCCGUAACUUCGGGAGAAGGCACGCUGGUGUGUAGGUGAAGUCCCUGCGGAUGGAGCUGAGACCAGUCGAAGAUACCAGCUGGCUGCAACUGUUUAUUAAAAACACAGCACUGUGCAAACACGAAAGUGGACGUAUACGGUGUGACGCCUGCCCGGUGCCGGAAGGUUAAUUGAUGGGGUUAUCCGUAAGGAGAAGCUCUUGAUCGAAGCCCCGGUAAACGGCGGCCGUAACUAUAACGGUCCUAAGGUAGCGAAAUUCCUUGUCGGGUAAGUUCCGACCUGCACGAAUGGCGUAAUGAUGGCCAGGCUGUCUCCACCCGAGACUCAGUGAAAUUGAACUCGCUGUGAAGAUGCAGUGUACCCGCGGCAAGACGGAAAGACCCCGUGAACCUUUACUAUAGCUUGACACUGAACAUUGAGCCUUGAUGUGUAGGAUAGGUGGGAGGCUUUGAAGCGUGGACGCCAGUCUGCGUGGAGCCAACCUUGAAAUACCACCCUUUAAUGUUUGAUGUUCUAACGUUGGCCCCUGACCGGGGUUGCGGACAGUGUCUGGUGGGUAGUUUGACUGGGGCGGUCUCCUCCCAAAGCGUAACGGAGGAGCACGAAGGUUAGCUAAUCCUGGUCGGACAUCAGGAGGUUAGUGCAAUGGCAUAAGCUAGCUUGACUGCGAGCGUGACGGCGCGAGCAGGUGCGAAAGCAGGUCAUAGUGAUCCGGUGGUUCUGAAUGGAAGGGCCAUCGCUCAACGGAUAAAAGGUACUCCGGGGAUAACAGGCUGAUACCGCCCAAGAGUUCAUAUCGACGGCGGUGUUUGGCACCUCGAUGUCGGCUCAUCACAUCCUGGGGCUGAAGUAGGUCCCAAGGGUAUGGCUGUUCGCCAUUUAAAGUGGUACGCGAGCUGGGUUUAGAACGUCGUGAGACAGUUCGGUCCCUAUCUGCCGUGGGCGCUGGAGAAUUGAGGGGGGCUGCUCCUAGUACGAGAGGACCGGAGUGGACGCAUCACUGGUGUUCGGGUUGUCAUGCCAAUGGCACUGCCCGGUAGCUAAAUGCGGAAGAGAUAAGUGCUGAAAGCAUCUAAGCACGAAACUUGCCCCGAGAUGAGUUCUCCCUGAGACUUUAAGUCUCCUGAAGGAACGUUAAAGACGAUGACGUUGAUAGGCCGGGUGUGUAAGCGCAGCGAUGCGUUGAGCUAACCGGUACUAAUGAACCGUGAGGCUUAACCUU